ACAAAAGCUAGCUAGCUAGCUCUAGGUGAUAGUGCGCGAGAUUAUAUGAGACAUGCCAAAUAGUUAGCUAACGUGGCGCGACCAGUUAGGAUUCCAAGUUCCAGUACUGGUAUAUACUUUUGAUCAGACACUCAGCCCCAGUAAAACACGUUGGUCAAUCAUAGUGCAACGUGGUGCAAGAUUAGAUAUGCUAUGGGAUAAUACUCAGAAUGGCAGGUAUAAUGGUAAAUUAGUUUGUUAGAUCGUCUUCUAAUUCAUCUCUUAUCGAUAGUAGUUUACAUCAAUUAUUAUAGGAUUAGUUUACAUCCAUGUUAUAAGGUUGGAAAAUGAUAUGCUGAUUGCUCGCUAUUGAUGUCUCAUAUGCUUACAAAAAAGCUAAUAGUGUCACUAACUAGAUAAUAUUUUACAUGGCUAACCAUACAGGAGCAACAUUAUGGAUCUUUUUGGCUGAUUUUUCUAUUCAGUUUUAAAAUAUUUUAUUUUCAGAUUAUCAGGAAGGUAUCUAUUCAAGUUUAGCUUAAUUUAAUGCAUCCAAUUUAUCUAAAAAAAAAAAGAAGGCUGAGAAUCAAAACCAUGAAUCUUGUAUAUAUGAGGAUAGGAAAUUAAAGCUGAUAGGUAGAAAUUAAUGAUAGGUGAUAAAGCUCUAGAACCGGAAGAUCGACAUGAGUAUACUAUGUUGUGGGCAUUUAUCUGAUGUACUUCGAACUCAUAAUUCUGAACAACUAUUACCUGCUUUUCUAAAUAAGUCAAUACUUAUAAUUUAUAUAUUCUUAGAUCAUUUGAUACAAAAUAAUCAUGAUCAUACAGACCAGUCAACAACACCAUCCCAAGCUAGUCAUUCAGGGGCUGUUUUCGAUGGUCUCUAGGCUUUCUGCUGGAUAUCUUCUUCGUCUGGCUUAACCUGUUAUCAGGAUACAUAGCCUAGAAAAAUCAUUAAUGAAGUAAAAUAUUUUUAAGAUAAACUAGUAUAUUAUCUUUUUCGCUUUUGUGAUGGGAUGAUAAGAGACUUUUUCGAUUACAUCGAAUUCUAUCCCUGCAGUCACGGUCCCCUCAGCGUUGCUUCAACGUACGCCAAGCUUAUCUUGUAAACAAGAUAGGCAUUGAUACAGACUCCCAAGACAACUCAACUUUCGAAAAUAUAUAUAUAUAAAGUCUACGUGGUCCCAAAUUAGUUUGUCCAGAUCCAAUAUAACCAUUCUUGAACACCUGCAACCGUGAGAAGUUUCAUGGCUAGCAAGCACUGCAACAGCUAGCUAGAGCUCCGCUUAGUAAUGAAUCAUUUUUCUUAAGUGUGAUAUACAUUGCCAUACCAAUUAUUUAUUUAAUUAUCUCAGUUAUCGUCUUUUUGGGAUUAAUUAGUUAAUCAACAUGGUAUAAGGUACAAGUUGGUUGCACAUUUUUUAAAUAAAAAUGUCAUGUUUGAAGAACUUAGUCUUACAGAAUGAAUAGGAGCUCAGCUCAGUUGACGCGUAGCUUGUAUAUAUAAACUUGGUUCAUGUAACAAGAAGCUAAGCCUGAUAUAUGGUAUAUAUAUUUGAAGUUUAGAAAUUAAGGCAAUUACCUCAAUACACCUAAAAGAAUGGAAAUUUUCUGCUGGAUUCCUGUCCUUUCUUUGCUGAGUGGACUUUGUUCUCAUCUUCUUUUAGAUUGCCCACUUGACAUAUGUGGGACUACUUCAAGAGGAAAUUGGGCAUCACAGAUAAACUUGAAUAUAUUUCAUCCUUUGGGACCUCAAGGGUUAGAGGUCCAUGUUCCAUCUACUCUCUAGACGAGUUGGAUCUUGCUAGCUAUAUGGUUGUGCGGUGGAGAAUUUGGUUAGUACGAAAUAAAAGAAUUUUUCAGAACAUGAUCAUGAAGAAUGAAUAUCAGCUAAUUAAUUUCCAGAGAAAUUGUCCAAUGCUGCUUCCAUCGGCAUUCUAAUCACUACCUCUUCUAAAGCUUCAAAAGCCGAUGCAUUUUAAAAAUUUAUACUUUUAUGCUUUUUCUUGUAGUCAUUUCUUAUCCCAUGAAAUCAACCAUGGGACAACCCAUGUUUAUUUCUCCUCAAAAGAAAAAAAUAAUAAUGAAUAUAGCUCAUCAAACUUAUUUUAAGCUGGAUCAUCCAUUUUAUAAAAUGAGUGGAUCGACCUUGGGCAACCUAUUAUCCAGCUUGGCUAAGCUUUUUUGCUCCCCUAAUGACAGCUAUAAAUAGCAUCAUUUCGAGCAUUAACAUUAAGCUGUUUUAGUACGUGUUGGGUAUAAAAUACUCCCAGUCGAAGUUUGUAAAAGGCCGACCCUACCAGAGCUCUUCCGGCUUCCGACUUUGUAUGGCAUCUUUUCGAACUCGCUCGAUCGUCCGAGCUUCCAUAAUACCAUCCAAACUUCUCCAAUAAUGAGCUCCCCCAUUCAUCUAUCGGACUGCUUCAAAUGCUCUUUGUGCUUCAUUAUCAACCGACUUUCUACAGUGAUUGGCUACCCUCUGAAUCUCUUCCAGACUUUCUCCUGCCACGAGCAACUUUACUCCGAACUUCUUUCGGACUUCAUCAAUAUCCGAGCUUCUCUAACGGUAGGGCUUCUACAGUAACCAGACUCCAUCCAAAUUUCUACGGUGGUCGACCGCCUUCCGGAUUUCAUCCGAAUUCCUACAAAAGUCGGAUCUCUAUCUCGAACUUCUAUUGCAGGUGGACUUCAUCCGAACUCCUACCAGGGCCGGGCUCCAUUCGAACUUCUACAGUGGGUGGAUUAUAGACGAGCUUCUACAACGAAUAGGCUCCACCAGCAGGAUCUCUACUCCGAACCUUUUCCGGACUUCAUCAAGGACCGAGCUUCUCCAGCAGCGGGACUUUUACAGUAAGCGAUCUAUUCCGAACUUCUAUGGCAACCGGUCUCCAUCCGGGCUUCUACGGUAAGCGGCCUCCUUCCGAACUCCUACAGGAAUCGGACUCCGUCCGAACUUCUACAGCGGUUGGAUUCCGGACGAACUUCUACAACGGACGUGCUCCAGCAGUCGGAUUUCUACAAUGACUGACUGUCUCUGGUGUCUUCCGUACCUCUCCGGCCAUCAACCUUCGAUAGCGCCAGUCGACCUUCCACAGAUCCAUCCGGUCUCCUCCAGCGGACGAACUUCCACAACGCCUUCCGAAUUACGCUGUCGGUCGACCCUCUAUCGAAUUUCUCAUGAAAUCGGACUUCUCCAAUAGAAAGUCCCCAUCCGAGCUUCUACAGCAGAUGACUUCCGCCUGCAGCAUCAGCGCCCAAGGUAUCCGACAACAGUGGAGUCGUCAGCAACCUCGAAAAUAUUCGAGCUUCUCCUGGAUUGCUGAAACAGAGAGCCAUUCUGCUCCAUCAGACGCCCCAGCCGAGCUUCAGCCAUCAGGUCCGAACUCUCUGGCAAGUCACGAUAAUGGCCGCUACUCUGCUCCACUCUCUGUAACAGAUUCUACGUGACUCCACUACUCUCUGGCAAAUCGUGACAACGGACACCACUCCACUCUCCAUAACAAACUUCACGUGGCCCUGAACGGCCCUCUAACGCCACUACUUUCCGUAACAAACUCCGCGUGGCUCCGAACGGCCCACUACUAGGCAGUUACGGGCGUCGCUGUCAAUCAGCUGCACUCUUCGUCUAUAAAAAGGGAUCCCAGAUACGUUCUUCUCUAAGCUCAAAACUCUAUCUCAAAACUCUACUAAAAUUUUCAUUCGAGCACUCCAUUUCUGUUGAGACAGAGUAUUGACUUGAGCAUCGGAGGAUUUUGCCGGAGCAAUCCCAACUCCGAUUUAGACUUUCCUUGCAGGUCCCGACAGCGGACGCGAUCCCUUCGACUUCAGCUUCUCUGGCAUCAUUAAAAUUCUACACCAACAGUAUAUAUUACUAUUAAUACCGAUCGUACUUGGAAACAGUGGGGAUGCCCAGCAUGCAAGGCGUUCAAGCACGUCUCAAUCGAAUGGGGGCCGUACGGGAGACGGCUUGAAAAGCCAUUGCAAAUUUUUCAAUCACCUCAUGGCCUCUGGAAUUUCUCAUCGUUUAGUUAGUUCUUUCAGCGGGCGUGGCCUGGAACGCAUCCAUCCAUCCCUUAUCUCUUUUAUCCAGACUAAUGUGGAGGUGCAAUAGCGGCUGUAUUAAUCUCAUCUUGCCAUUUCUCUAGACAAAGUCAAGAGACCCACCAAGUCAAGUGUCGUAAGUCAUCGGCACGUCAGAUUUUUGACUUGUAUUGCGAUAGCAACAAGGAGUGGAGAGCCGUGAGGAGAAGAAACGCACAGAUGGAUAAGUAUGCGUGCCACGAUGGCAAAGGCAAAAUGUCGAAAAGCGCAAGUGGGUGCAUUUACAACAUAUGGAUAACGAGAGACACCUAUUUUUCCCUGGCUCUGUAAGUCGGCAAAUCAAAUGAUUUCCAUGUGUGGGCACCAAACAUGCCCCCUUGGAGUAGUGCCAUAGAACCACGAUCUUCCAUGUAGGCCAUGUCGUAGAAUAUUAUUUAUUUUUGAAUGACUGCUAUCAAAAUAUGAACGGCUAUU
RNAcentral lists this long non-coding RNA (4494 nucleotides) under Elaeis guineensis (African oil palm). RNAcentral's name for it is "long non-coding RNA (EGUI_LNC010706)". Lineage: Eukaryota; Viridiplantae; Streptophyta; Magnoliopsida; Arecales; Arecaceae. The record is from RNAcentral.